This 255-nucleotide ribosomal RNA is filed under the name Arthropoda sp. MM01297. RNAcentral's name for it is "partial small subunit ribosomal RNA". It matches the Rfam family "Eukaryotic small subunit ribosomal RNA", at positions 748 to 998 of the family's 1831-position model. Lineage: Eukaryota; Metazoa; Arthropoda. The record is from RNAcentral. RNAcentral also lists the same sequence under 1 other name.
ACGUUUACUUUGAACAAAUUAGAGUGCUCAAAGCAGGUGCUUGCUCGCCUGAAUAUCACAGCAUGGAAUGAUGGAAUAGGACCUCGGUCUUAUUUUGUUGGUUUUCUCUAGACCCGAGGUAAUGGUUAAUAGAGACAGACGGGGGCAUUCGUACUGCGACGCUAGAGGUGAAAUUCUUGGACCGUCGCAAGACGAACAACUGCGAAAGCAUUUGCCAAGAAUGUUUUCAUUAAUCAAGAACGAAAGUUAGAGGUU